GAUGAACGCUGGCGGCGUGCCUAAUACAUGCAAGUCGAGCGAACAGACGAGGAGCUUGCUCCUCUGACGUUAGCGGCGGACGGGUGAGUAACACGUGGAUAACCUACCUAUAAGACUGGGAUAACUUCGGGAAACCGGAGCUAAUACCGGAUAAUAUAUUGAACCGCAUGGUUCAAUAGUGAAAGACGGUUUUGCUGUCACUUAUAGAUGGAUCCGCGCCGCAUUAGCUAGUUGGUAAGGUAACGGCUUACCAAGGCAACGAUGCGUAGCCGACCUGAGAGGAUGAUCGGCCACACUGGAACUGAGACACGGUCCAGACUCCUACGGGAGGCAGCAGUAGGGAAUAUUCCGCAAUGGGCGCAAGCCUGACGGAGCAACGCCGCGUGAGUGAUGAAGGUCUUCGGAUCGUAAAACUCUGUUAUUAGGGAAGAACAAAUGUGUAAGUAACUAUGCACGUCUUGACGGUACCUAAUCAGAAAGUCACGGCUAACUACGUG
This 497-nucleotide ribosomal RNA is filed under the name uncultured bacterium. RNAcentral describes it as "partial 16S ribosomal RNA". It matches the Rfam family "Bacterial small subunit ribosomal RNA", at positions 28 to 507 of the family's 1533-position model. The record is from RNAcentral.